Molecule: unclassified non-coding RNA, 217 nt
Filed under: Hevea brasiliensis (rubber tree)
Lineage: Eukaryota; Viridiplantae; Streptophyta; Magnoliopsida; Malpighiales; Euphorbiaceae
Source: RNAcentral
AGACCAUGAUGUGGUCAGGGAACUGAGGAACUGCUGCCACGUGUUCCACAAAGAGUGCAUUGAUAGAUGGCUAGAUCAUGAUCAUGAUAAUCACAAAACUUGUCCGUUAUGUAGGGCGCCUCUUUUGACCACUUCACAGUGCUCGGCUUGGGUCAAGUCUGAGCCCAGUUGGGCUGUUGAGAGAAUUCUGUACCUAUUUGGAGAUGAUUUGUUUGUU